Molecule: ribosomal RNA, 253 nt
Filed under: uncultured bacterium
Lineage: Bacteria
Description: partial 16S ribosomal RNA
Rfam family: Bacterial small subunit ribosomal RNA
Source: RNAcentral
GACGGAGGAUGCAAGUGUUAUCCGGAAUCACUGGGCGUAAAGCGUCUGUAGGUGGUUUAGUAAGUCUGUUGUUAAAGCUUGGGGCUUAACCCCAAAUCAGCGAUGGAAACUGCUAGACUUGAGUAUGGUAGAGGUAAGAGGAAUUUCCAGUGGAGCGGUGAAAUGCGUAGAUAUUGGAAAGAACACCGAUGGCGAAGGCAUCUUACUGGGCCAUUACUGACACUCAGAGACGAAAGCUAGGGUAGCAAAUGGG